This 264-nucleotide ribosomal RNA is filed under the name uncultured bacterium. RNAcentral's name for it is "partial 16S ribosomal RNA". It matches the Rfam family "Bacterial small subunit ribosomal RNA", at positions 91 to 354 of the family's 1533-position model. The record is from RNAcentral.
CUUAGUGGCGGACGGGUGAGUAACGCGUGGGCAACCUGCCCCGUGCCGGGGGAUACCGCCUGGAAACAGGCGCUAAUACCGCAUAAGCGCAUACAGCCGCAUGGCAGUAUGCGGAAAGCUCCGGCGGCACGGGAUGGGCCCGCGCCCGAUUAGCCAGUUGGCGGGGUAACGGCCCACCAAAGCGACGAUCGGUAGCCGGCCUGAGAGGGCGGACGGCCACAUUGGGACUGAGACACGGCCCAAACUCCUACGGAAGGCAGCAGG